This 550-nucleotide ribosomal RNA is filed under the name uncultured bacterium. RNAcentral's name for it is "partial 16S ribosomal RNA". It matches the Rfam family "Bacterial small subunit ribosomal RNA", at positions 355 to 895 of the family's 1533-position model. The record is from RNAcentral.
UGGGGAAUAUUGGACAAUGGGCGCAAGCCUGAUCCAGCAAUGCCGCGUGUGUGAAGAAGGCCUUCGGGUUGUAAAGCACUUUUAUCAGGAGCGAAACGCUGUCGGCUAAUACCCGGCGGAACUGACGGUACCUGAGGAAUAAGCACCGGCUAACUUCGUGCCAGCAGCCGCGGUAAUACGAAGGGUGCAAGCGUUAAUCGGAAUUACUGGGCGUAAAGCGUGCGUAGGCGGUUUCUUAAGUCUGCUGUGAAAUCCCCGGGCUCAACCUGGGAAUGGCAGUGGAUACUGGGAGGCUAGAGUGUGUCAGAGGGUGGUGGAAUUCCCGGUGUAGCGGUGAAAUGCGUAGAGAUCGGGAGGAACAUCAGUGGCGAAGGCGGCCACCUGGGACAACACUGACGCUGAGGCACGAAAGCGUGGGGAGCAAACAGGAUUAGAUACCCUGGUAGUCCACGCCCUAAACGAUGCGAACUGGAUGUUGGUCUCAACUCGGAGAUCAGUGUCGAAGCUAACGCGUUAAGUUCGCCGCCUGGGGGAGUACGGUCGCAAGACC